ACUAGCAGUAAGAGUUUGAUCCUGGCUCAGGACGAACGCUGGCGGCGUGCCUAACACAUGCAAGUCGAACGGGACCGGGGGCAACUCCGGGUUCAGUGGCGGACGGGUGCGUAACACGUGAGGAACAUGACUUCGGUGGGGGAUAGCCGGCCCAACGGCCGGGUAAUACCGCGUACGACCAUUCGGGGACAUCCCCGGCUGGUGAAAGCAGCAAUGCGCCGAAAGAGUGCCUCGCGGCCUAUCAGCUAGUUGGUGGGGUAAUGGCUCACCAAGGCGACGACGGGUAGCUGGUCUGAGAGGAUGGCCAGCCACAUUGGGACUGAGACACGGCCCAGACUCCUACGGGAGGCAGCAGUGGGGAAUCUUGCGCAAUGGGCGAAAGCCUGACGCAGCGACGCCGCGUGCGGGAUGAAGGCCUUCGGGUCGUAAACCGCUGUCGGGAGGGACGAAGCUCUGACGGUACCUCCAAAGGAAGCACCGGCUAACUCCGUGCCAGCCGCCGCGGUAAUAC
This 511-nucleotide ribosomal RNA is filed under the name uncultured bacterium. RNAcentral's name for it is "bacterial SSU rRNA". It matches the Rfam family "Bacterial small subunit ribosomal RNA", at positions 1 to 526 of the family's 1533-position model. The record is from RNAcentral.